This is a non-coding RNA of Delphinapterus leucas (beluga whale), 3313 nucleotides long. The record is from RefSeq and is a predicted model, not a curated record. Lineage: Eukaryota; Metazoa; Chordata; Mammalia; Artiodactyla; Monodontidae.
CGAACCCGUGUCCCCUGCAUCGGCAGGCGGCCUCUCAACCGCUGCGCCACCAGGGAAGCCCUGCCCUCUCCCUCUUAUGCCGUAAGCCGCAUGCCAGCUUCCUGGUCCCUGAAUGCUCAUCACAUCAUGAACUCUGCUGAAAACCACAGGGUUCUUCUCCACGGGCCUCCGUCUCAGCAGGACAAGCCCUGAACCCCAGCGUUGCCCUCCUGCCUGUCUCCCCCCCAACACAGAAAGCCCCCCAAGCUCACAGCCCCCACCCGUUCGUGUGCUCUGCUGGGACUGUCCACCGUUUCUCAGGGCUGUGCCACCCUUCAGGCACAGCCCCGGGCCCGAUGGAAAUGGGGAGGCACCGCAAGAGCCUGCCCUCAGCCCUGGUCGGCCUCGGCUGGGCCCAGCUGUCCUGCUGCCCGAGCCUGGCAGCACCAGCAGAAAAGCAGACGGCGGCCUCGAGGUGGGAGGUGGCACGACAGUGACAGGGACAGUAAAGGCACCGCAAGGAGGGCCGCCCUGCACUCCUCCUGUGGACGCACCCCUCCCCAGACGCCGGGGCCUGCACGCUGACCAGCGGAGCUGGACGCACAAGGGCCACGCUACCGUGUGGUCGUCGAUGCGCCGGAAGUCCAGGUACACCAGGUCGGGGAGGUAGGCACAGAUGAACGUCCUGUAGUCCUCGGCCUCGGCGACCGGGUUCCCCGAGAGGCUGAGCGUCCGCAGGUCCUUGAACCGCCGCAGGUAGAUGAUCUGGGGGAGAGGGGGGUCGCCUGGGUCCUCUCUCCGUCCUCUGCCCGCACUGGGCGGAGCCACGAGGGAGGAGCCAUGGGCUUUGCCCAGGACCCGUGGACCUGGGUCCCCAUCUCCUCUUCUUAAGGUGGGUGCAAGGAUGUGGUGCAUAGGUGUUGAGAGGACCAAAUGCCACAUGCUGUGAGGGCCUCCACCUGCUCCCGUAAUGCCCUGGCUGUGCCCAUCGCUGCUGCUCUCAGAACGGGCGGCCUUUUCCAACUGUAAAGUGCUAUGCAAGGCCCAGCGCUCGUAAAUUCAACGGAACCUGAUUCCCAGUUGGCCUGGACCAACUGGGUGGUAGCUAGUGGGAUGUCCACUGACGGCCGUUUAUUCUUCCUAUUGUUAGUAACCGGGGGAAGGUCAGCAAGAUGCCCGUACCUCAUCCGACAGCAACUCCUGUGCUUUCCUGAAGGAGCGUCUUUGUCAUUUGUUUAUUUGUUCAACAAAGAUCACUAAGCACCUACCAGGCCUCAGGUACGUGCCAGGCCUUAGGGACACAAUGGGAACAAAGCCCUUAUAGCAGGAGCUGGCACUCUAAGGCAGGGGACAAGAAUGUUUUAAAAGUAAGUAGAAUCAUUGCUGUUUGGUGUAAGUGCUAGAAGAACUCAACGGGGGAGGGGGUGGAGAGGGGGCCUUAGGGACCAUGACAGGGGGGGUUUCAGUUAGGACUGAGGCCUCUGAGGCCUGAGGGAGCAGCCAGGGAAGAGCAGGGGCCAGUGCAUUCCCAGAAGCAAAACCAGCACAAGCAAAGGCCCUGAGGCAGGAAAGAGCGUCCUGUACCAGGCACUCAGCAAGGCCAGGGGAGGGAACGGAGCAUCCACAGCAGGGCGGGGCGUGGCCUGAAAGCCAGUGUCCCCUCCACGCCCAGGCCUGGACCUGCGUCCAUUAGACUCUGCAGUGUCCGAGGGGCAGCAAGCCAGAGGGGAUCUGCUCGCUGUGGCCCUGGGUACUGGACCGACCCAGGCAGGAACAGCUCAAGACACUCAGAAAGGUUUUCACAAGCAAGAUUUGGGGCUAUUGGGUGUGCCCUUAAUCUGAAAAUUCCUGAAUAAGCAUCAUUUCCUGCAGAGCUCUCCUGUGCCCGGUCCUGUAGCAGCCGCUCAGCCCUAACUGACUCAGCCCUCACACCGGCCUGCCCCGCAGGCCACCGCUCUCCCGUACGGAUGGGCACGCAGGCCCCGGGUGCUGAGUCCCCGGCCCAAGGCCAGGCGGCCAGGAGCCCGUUAAACCUCAGCUCUCCACUUACACCUCCCUCAGCUGUCCUGUGUGCCCCCGCCCCGCAGGGCCGAGGGCAGCUGAGCAAUCAGGUCUUGAACACUGGCAAGAGGUGGGCUGGGUUUACCACCUCCCAGGGGCGUGCAGGGCAAACCUCCCAGACCACACGGCCUCUGGGGUCCGGCCCUCAAACACAGCUGUGGACAAGGAAGACUGCGGCCUGGACUGCUGGGUCACAGCCACAAGGAGCAUCAGCCCAGGGCGACGCUAAGGCCGGCUGAGCCGAGAGUGAGCACGAGCCAGAGGCCCCACGGCCGAGGGGGCCCCACCCCAGCAAAUGUCUGCUGAGUGAGUGCGGGGACAGGGAAGGAAAGAUCCCACCGGGGCAGGGGCACAAACGGACCCGCACGUGGGCUCUCGUGGCCUAGGCUGGUGUGUGAACAUCAUCCAGUCUGGAAUUCUGGCCUUUCUGGGACAAGGGGAAGGUCGGAGGCUCAGCCUGCGGCCCCCCCGCCCCCCGGCGCCCUCGCUCACGUUCAUCAUGUUGCCGAUCUGGUUGUUGCCCAGCGACAGCACCUGCAGCUUGACCAGCGCGUCCAGCGAGUCGAUCUUGGAGAUCCGGUUGUUGAACAGGCUCAGGUCCUCCAGGUUCACCAGCGUGUCCAGCCCCUCGAUGGCCUCAAUGUUGUUGAAGGACAGGUCUGGAGGACGGCUCCGGGUUAGGGUGACUGUCCUGAAUCCAACCCCCCCCCCCCCCCCCCUGGCUCUGCUGCCACCUUCCCGGCCCUGGACUCGGGCGAAGGCUCGCGUCUGUGCGGCCCUCGUUCUGGGAUGGAAGCUCCCUGGUGGGUCGGGGCAGCGCACCUUGGGGUGGGGGAGACCCGCGCGGGCCGGGCUGCCCCAAACUCCAGGCCCAGCCCCGGCUGAGACCUCCAGAGCCCCUCUAGUCCAAGUUUCUCAUCUUUGGGAAUAAAACUGCUUUUCUGCCACCACGGGUUUGGGGGUUUGGUUGGGGUUGGUGUCCUUGAACACCGUUGGCCCAGAGGCCCAAACUGGGAACUUUUCAAGAGAUUCAGCUAAAGCCCUCAUGUGUAAAGGGGACUCAGGAAGUCGGUUUGGCCUCCCUGGCACCUCAGGGGACGCUCACCCGGGACACUCUCCCUACGCCAGGCCCUCCCCGGGCGUUUCCUCGUUUGUCAUCGCCCCUAUCUUAGGGCUGAGGGAGCCAAGAUUCAAAGGGGCCUGGUGGUCACGUGCUCACGAUCAAGCACACGUAAGGAAGGUAGGGUGCAGAGGGCGGAGGGAACGUACAGAA